GAUGAACGCUGGCGGCGUGCUUAACACAUGCAAGUCGAACGGAAAGGCCCAAGCUUGCUUGGGUACUCGAGUGGCGAACGGGUGAGUAACACGUGGGUGAUCUGCCCUGCACUUCGGGAUAAGCCUGGGAAACUGGGUCUAAUACCGGAUAGGACGACGGUUUGGAUGCCAUUGUGGAAAGUUUUUUCGGUGUGGGAUGAGCUCGCGGCCUAUCAGCUUGUUGGUGGGGUAAUGGCCUACCAAGGCGUCGACGGGUAGCCGGCCUGAGAGGGUGUACGGCCACAUUGGGACUGAGAUACGGCCCAGACUCCUACGGGAGGCAGCAGUGGGGAAUAUUGCACAAUGGGCGCAAGCCUGAUGCAGCGACGCCGCGUGGGGGAUGACGGCCUUCGGGUUGUAAACUCCUUUCGCUAGGGACGAAGCGUUUUUGUGACGGUACCUGGAGAAGAAGCACCGGCUAACUACGUG
This 468-nucleotide ribosomal RNA is filed under the name uncultured bacterium. RNAcentral describes it as "partial 16S ribosomal RNA". It matches the Rfam family "Bacterial small subunit ribosomal RNA", at positions 28 to 507 of the family's 1533-position model. The record is from RNAcentral.